This 75-nucleotide transfer RNA is filed under the name Erythrobacter mangrovi. Its description in RNAcentral is "Erythrobacter sp. EB310 tRNA-Phe". It matches the Rfam family "tRNA". From Rfam's summary of the family: Transfer RNA (tRNA) molecules are approximately 80 nucleotides in length. Their secondary structure includes four short double-helical elements and three loops (D, anti-codon, and T loops). Lineage: Bacteria; Pseudomonadati; Pseudomonadota; Alphaproteobacteria; Sphingomonadales; Erythrobacteraceae. The record is from RNAcentral.
GCCGAAGUAGCUCAGUGGUAGAGCGGCAGAUUGAAGAUUUGCGCGUCGGUGGUUCGAUCCCACCCUUCGGCACCA